ACCAGGAGUCACUCUGACUGAUGUUCAGCAGUUUCCAAAAGUCAAAUCCACCUUCAGAUGGAAAUGAUUUCUACCACUUGGUGACAUUCAGUAUAUGAUGAGCUGGGAAAACAUUCUGAACAAUUUUCAAAGACAUCUUGAAUGUUUUACAUGCCACGGGACAGAUGUGAUUCUAUAUAAAACAAGAACAUGUCAAUAGAGCGAAACAGUAUUAACACAGUUACCUUGGAACCUGGGAAAAAGUGGAAUAGAACAGAUCCUGUUGUCAGGAAGCUGACAUCCAACAGAAGGAAUCAGUGAAUUAAUACAAAAGGAAAUUACUGAUAUAUUAAGGGACCACACAGAGUCAUGGAAUCGAACCCGAACCUUGAGGAGUAAGAUUCCAGGAAGACAUCCUACAGGCAGACAAGGGCAAUGUGAACUGUGGCUUGUUUCCAUCCAAGAAGAUACAAAGACUUAAUAAUAAAACUCUCUGGAUCUCAGUAGCAUUUCCGUGAGCAGAUGAGUGUCUAAAAGAAGAGAUUAAUCUGGGAGAGCUACCUGCACGUAUACAAAAAUACUGUUUAACAUUGAAUCAUUACCUAGAUGUCAUUCUGGUAGCAGACUUUCUAGAAUGAGAAGACAAAAAGAUCACCUCUGGAGAGACACGUUUAUCUUGAGACUAAAAGGAACAUCAAGGAAAAGGAUGCCAUGCCCAGUGCUUCAAGGAGAGUGACUUUUAUUUCUAUUACAGUAUAGGUAAUUUCUUAAUUAUUCUGGAUUUCUCUCUGAUAUAAUCAACCAACCAAAUAAUAUGCCCAUUCACUUCCUUGUUAAGUAAUGUCAUCUUCAUUUACUGGUCAUCUUAUUAGUAUUUCUUUGCUUUUAAAUAAUUUAGAUCAAAAGAAAAAUGGAAAUAAAAUCUCUGCCAAGAAAAUAGCUGAGUGAUUUUUAUAAAGUAACUGAAGAUGUAUUUGUUCAAUUCUCCUGCCAGAAAGCCCCAAAAGAAAUGAAGAAAAUGUGUCUUAAACAAGAUGGUAGGGCAGGAUCAAACAUAUCUUUAUAGCAAAUAUUGAAUCAAAAAUCCAAUAGUAUAUACUAUGUAAAAGCAAAAAA
Molecule: long non-coding RNA, 1095 nt
Organism: Pteropus alecto (black flying fox)
Lineage: Eukaryota; Metazoa; Chordata; Mammalia; Chiroptera; Pteropodidae
Exons: 5
Source: RefSeq, a predicted model, not a curated record